Molecule: ribosomal RNA, 253 nt
Filed under: uncultured bacterium
Lineage: Bacteria
Description: partial 16S ribosomal RNA
Rfam family: Bacterial small subunit ribosomal RNA
Source: RNAcentral
UACGAAGGGGGCGAGCGUUGUUCGGAAUUACUGGGCGUAAAGGGCGCGUAGGCGGCCCCUUUUGUCGCGUGUGAAAGCCCCGGGCUCAACCUGGGAGGUGCGCGCGAAACGGGGGGGCUUGAGUUCGGGAGAGGAGCGUGGAAUUCCCAGUGUAGAGGUGAAAUUCGUAGAUAUUGGGAAGAACACCGGUGGCGAAGGCGGCGCUCUGGACCGAGACUGACGCUGAGGCGCAAAAGCGUGGGGAGCAAACAGG